Long non-coding RNA from Passer domesticus (house sparrow), 685 nucleotides. RefSeq lists it as uncharacterized. The transcript is spliced from 3 exons. The record is from RefSeq and is a predicted model, not a curated record. NCBI's taxonomy places the organism in Eukaryota, Metazoa, Chordata, Aves, Passeriformes, Passeridae.
GUUCGGGCCGGGGCUGGGCCGGGUUCCGGCCCGGGGCCGGGCCAGGGCAGGGCCGCAGUGAUUUUCAAAGGAGAUUCUCAAUUGAACUACUGCCAUAACUUUCUGAAGAGUCUUUCUAAUUGGUCCAAAACUUGGAGGAGUUGGUGUGAGAACUGGACUUUGUGCUGUCAACAUUCUGAGUGUGGAGCCAGUGCUAAAUCCAUGCAACUAUAUGGGAAUGGAAUAAAUGACACUAUUUAAACAAGGAAAUGCUCCUGGCUUAGGCAUUUUAUCUGCACAAAUGCACACUAGGAGAGGAAGAGCAAAUCAGAGAUGAAAACGUAUCAGUUUGCAUGGCCUGAAUGUCUGGCUCUGGAAAUUCUGCAUUGCACAAGAUGUGCUGAGCUCAACUGGCUCUGAAAUAUCAUCUCUGCACCUUAGCCAGGAACAGCAUCAGAGUUUUGAACAGAUUCAUCAAAAUCAGUCAUAAGCCAGAAGCAAACCUCGGCAAUACACAUCUGUGGCAGGUGAGGAGAGCAAAAGCUCCCAUUCUUGUUCUUGGAGAAUGAAUUCAGCAAUAAAAAUUCCUCUCUCUUGGCAUUAAAAUACUUUAGUGUCAGCUCUGCCCCAGACUAUCAGUGUCAAGUAUUUCUCUGGGUGCUUGGGGGUAGGUUCUCCCCCUGUAGCUCUCUGCAGGUUGGUGCUA